AGGGGGCUCCAGCUGAAGGAAGAGAGGGCACUGUGACUUCACUCCACUCCACUCCCACUCCCUUCUCCUGACCUUUGCCCAGAGCACCAGCCAAUUCUGGAUCCUUGAUGUGGAUUCUUCGCUAAGCAGGGGCCUCCUUUAACAGAAAAUGCUUUACAUAGGUCUCCUUGUGCCCUGAACUCCUCCCUCCGGUGCCUCAGGGCCCAGAUGACAGCCAUUUAGCUGUCCUGGGGCCUGGUCCAGCUGCGUGUAAUGUGAUGCUGCUCCUUGGAGGCCACCAACGGUCCCAGGCUUUCCCAGGCCAAACGUGGAGAGGAGAUACCACAUCAAGAGGUUGGAGGGGCUGGUGGACAAAGACCACGAGCACAGAAAUCAGGAACUGGAAAGACAACGUUGCAGUGGAGUUGAGAAUGCGCUUCCGCCUUUAUUACCUCAUUUGCUCUUGACGACGACUCUGUGAAGAGGGCAGGAGGGAAAAGGCAGGAGAGCAACCAUCCUGGGCCAAGCCACCAUCCCCUCCUGCCUGGAUGACAACAGCAGCUCUGGGACACCCCCUUGCAUCCAAGCUUGCCUCCUCCCCUUCACCAUUGCCCACGGAAAUGAAGCUGGAUUGGUCUUCCUAAAGCGAGAAUAAACUCAUCUGCCACAAACCCCUGAGGCCUCCAUUCUUCUCAGUGCAGAGUCUGAACUCCAUAGUGUGGCUACCAAGACCUUCUUACCUGGUCCUGACCACCUCUCCAGCGCAGCGGCGCCACUGUGACCUCACACAAGAUGCCCAGCCAGACAGAACUACCUGCUCCUGCCGCCGCUGCUGCUAC
This 818-nucleotide long non-coding RNA is filed under the name Equus asinus (donkey). Its description in RNAcentral is "lncRNA (ENSEASG00005034302.1)". The record is from RNAcentral. Lineage: Eukaryota; Metazoa; Chordata; Mammalia; Perissodactyla; Equidae.